AAACCCAAUCAAAGCAUGCAAUGGAUAGCCACACAUAUCAUAGAUACGACAGAGAUUUAACUUAAUGGAUAACGAAACGUCAGGUAGAACAGACUACCCAGACCCAACGGACUUGACAUGGCAAGAGUACAUUCAUACGAGUUCAACAGGGGCACGACGGCCUCAAAAGUCCAUUCACUUCGUCGCGGGGUGGGGUGAUACUUUGGCUGGUUAUUUAGGUGAUAACGGUUCUGGGCUCGGCGCAUCCAUGGUCACCAGCUGGCCGUCCAGGCUCUAGCCCAUGGCGUACUUCUGUGUCCAGGAGCGUGCCGUGGACUC
This 318-nucleotide long non-coding RNA is filed under the name Triticum aestivum (bread wheat). RNAcentral's name for it is "long non-coding RNA (TAES_LNC021517)". Lineage: Eukaryota; Viridiplantae; Streptophyta; Magnoliopsida; Poales; Poaceae. The record is from RNAcentral.